GAUGAACGCUGGCGGCGUGCUUAACACAUGCAAGUCGAACGUGAGAAUAGCAAUAUUUGAAAGUGGCAAACGGGUGAGUAACACGUGGGAACCUGCCUCGAAGUGGGGGAUAACGAUUGGAAACGGUCGCUAAUACCGCACGGUUCUGCUCUGAUGGGAAUGGAGCAGAUAAAGAUUUAUCGCUUUGAGAGGGGCCCGCGGCCGAUUAGCUAGUUGGUAAGGUAAAGGCUUACCAAGGCGAUUAUCGGUAGCUGGUCUGAGAGGACGAUCAGCCACACGGGAACUGAGACACGGUCCCGACUCCUACGGGGGGCAGCAGUGAGGAAUAUUGGGCAAUGGGCGAAAGCCUGACCCAGCAACGCCGCGUGGAGGAUGAAGGCUUUAGGGUUGUAAACUCCUUUUUGUGGGGGAAAAGAAUGGAUGGUACCCCAAGAAUAAGUCACGGCUAACUACGUG
RNAcentral lists this ribosomal RNA (456 nucleotides) under uncultured bacterium. RNAcentral's name for it is "bacterial SSU rRNA". It matches the Rfam family "Bacterial small subunit ribosomal RNA", at positions 28 to 507 of the family's 1533-position model. The record is from RNAcentral.